UACGGAGGGGGCUAGCGUUGUUCGGAAUUACUGGGCGUAAAGCGCACGUAGGCGGCUUUGUAAGUUAGAGGUGAAAGCCCGGAGCUCAACUCCGGAACUGCCUUUAAGACUGCAUCGCUUGAACGUCGGAGAAGUAAGUGGAAUUCCGAGUGUAGAGGUGAAAUUCGUAGAUAUUCGGAAGAACACCAGUGGCGAAGGCGACUUACUGGACGACUGUUGACGCUGAGGUGCGAAAGCGUGGGGAGCAAACAGG
Molecule: ribosomal RNA, 253 nt
Filed under: uncultured bacterium
Lineage: Bacteria
Description: partial 16S ribosomal RNA
Rfam family: Bacterial small subunit ribosomal RNA
Source: RNAcentral